GUAAUAAACCAAGCCGUAUAGUCCCCAUGACUAAUGUUCUAAGACGUUACCUUUCCUGUCUACAGGUACCGUGUGGAACUGUCGUUGUCAUACCACGCAAAUAUUGUAUCAGGUCAAGUAACAGCUAGGGACAGCGCUCCAGUUUUUAAAAAUAACGGCCAAAUCAACUGACUGGAGACAAAUCUUAAAAGGACAGCAACAUUGCUAGGAAUAGCUAUCAAAAAGGUCGACACAAAAUACAUAGAUUGCUUUGUUUUUGAAUUAAUAUCUAAAGAGAAAGAGGUUCAUCCUCCCACGUUUCUUAAAACAACAAGAACAAAUUCGUUUAGUACACAUCUUGGUUCAUAGAGUCAAAGCUUUGGUACAUGAAUUUC
Long non-coding RNA from Brassica oleracea var. oleracea, 374 nucleotides. RefSeq lists it as uncharacterized. The record is from RefSeq and is a predicted model, not a curated record. NCBI's taxonomy places the organism in Eukaryota, Viridiplantae, Streptophyta, Magnoliopsida, Brassicales, Brassicaceae. The transcript has 2 exons.